This is a long non-coding RNA of Mustela erminea (ermine), 1326 nucleotides long. RefSeq lists it as uncharacterized. The record is from RefSeq and is a predicted model, not a curated record. NCBI's taxonomy places the organism in Eukaryota, Metazoa, Chordata, Mammalia, Carnivora, Mustelidae. The transcript is spliced from 4 exons.
UGGGUGCUGGAAGCCAUUCAGCUGUAAUCUAAUUAGCACCAUGUUCAGAUUGCAGCAAAGCAUGCAAAUAGCUCAUUUGCCUUUGAAAAUGACACAAUUUGAGAUAUUUUUCAAGGAGUUGUCCUGACAUGCUGAACUCACUCAUUGAUUGUCCUCCUUGAUUUGAAUUCAUCUUGUGCUAAAACACCUCCCGGAUUUCUCCAAAUUCUCUAUUUCAGUGCUUUGUUCAUACUGUUAUAUUUUAAUAUUUGCCAGGUCCUGUUAGGCUACUACACUUUGAUUGGCUCACAGAAUUUUAUGUGAAUUUCAGUUUGUUGAUUUUCGGCUUCCUGUGCCUAAGCUCCAGAAUGUUCUUCACUAAAGUUCUGUCAGUUACAAUGUGUUGGAUAUUGUGAUGCACAUGGGAGUCCUGCUUACAAUGAAAAAGCCUCUAAGUAGCUUUCCAGGAACAGGUGACUAUUAUGAGCCAAAGGUAGGAAGCUGCUCUCAGCGGUCCUAAUAAGUCAUUUCAACUUGCGGAACUGAUGUGGCUGUUAAAGAAGUGUCAAUAGCACAGUGGGCUCUCCAACGGACAGUCGAGCACAUUAGGAAGGAACACAGAUUCUAGAGCAGACAUGUCUGGGCAGAAUUCCAGCUCCAGAAGCACAAAGAGUCGGGCAGCAGCAAGAGUCAUGAGGACCUGCAUCUUGGAAUCACCCACCGUGUAUUCUAGAGUCCCCCGUGUUGUGAAUUUAGGCUCAACCAAAAGUUUAAAGGGCUCAGCCAAAAAGCUUAAAGGUGACUUUAACAUUGGACUUGGCAGGCUAAGUAAGAAGACUGCUCUACCCAGUGGUAGGUGGGUGGGCCUCAUCCCAUCAGUCAAAGGCCUGAAUAGAACAAAAAGGAUUCUCGGUAAGAGGGAAUUCCUCUAGCUUGGCUGCCUUCCAACUGGACAUAGGUUUCUCUUGACUCCAGAGUGCAAGGACACCAUCUUCUCUCCGGGGUCUCAGGCCUUUGACCUUGAACUGUAACUAAACCACUGACUCUCCCACGUGCUGACUCAUCCUAAAGAUCUUGGGACUUAUCAGCUUGUAUUAUGUAAAAUUUUUCCCCGUUUUCCCCCUUGCUUGUAGAGUAAUCUUGUAACAAAGAUUUUAUUUAACCAAAAAAAAAAAAGUGUAUCUGACACAUCAGUCCAUUUAUUCAGCAAAAACAUGCACUUAGGGUCUAUGAUAUACCGGGCCCUACACUAACCUCUGAUACAGAACAAGGAAUAUGGUUGUUACUUUUGUGGAGAUUUUAGUCUGGUAGAGGAGAGAGAAACAUUGUACAAAUAAAUGAAAUAUA